This 253-nucleotide ribosomal RNA is filed under the name uncultured bacterium. Its description in RNAcentral is "partial 16S ribosomal RNA". It matches the Rfam family "Bacterial small subunit ribosomal RNA", at positions 524 to 776 of the family's 1533-position model. The record is from RNAcentral.
GACGAACCGUGCGAACGUUGUUCGGAAUCACUGGGCUUAAAGGGCGCGUAGGCGGGCCUGCAAGUCAGGGGUGAAAGCCCCCAGCUCAACUGGGGAAGCGCCUCUGAUACUGCCGGUCUCGAGGGAGGUAGGGGCGUGCGGAACUUCCGGUGGAGCGGUGAAAUGCGUAGAUAUCGGAAGGAACGCCGGUGGCGAAAGCGGCGCGCUGGACCUCUUCUGACGCUGAGGCGCGAAAGCCAGGGGAGCGAACGGG